RNAcentral lists this ribosomal RNA (38 nucleotides) under Acaena fissistipula. RNAcentral describes it as "partial 26S ribosomal RNA". Lineage: Eukaryota; Viridiplantae; Streptophyta; Magnoliopsida; Rosales; Rosaceae. The record is from RNAcentral.
CACGACCCCAGGUCAGGUGGGUUACCCGCUGAAUUUAA